AGGAGGCAGCAGUAAGGAAUAUUGGUCAAUGGACGGAAGUCUGAACCAGCCAUCCCGCGUGCAGGAAGAAGGCGCUAUGCGUUGUAAACUGCUUUUCCAGGGGAAGAAAGCCCCCGAUGUAUCGGGGUUUGCCGGUACCCUGGGAAUAAGCAUCGGCUAACUCCGUGCCAGCAGCCGCGGUAAUACGGAGGAUGCGAGCGUUAUCCGGAUUUAUUGGGUUUAAAGGGUGCGUAGGCGGGCUGAUAAGUCAGUGGUGAAAACCUGCAGCUUAACUGUAGACGUGCCAUUGAUACUGUUAGUCUUGAGUGUGGUCAAGGCAGGCGGAAUGUGUAAUGUAGCAGUGAAAUGCUUAGAUAUUACACAGAACACCGAUUGCGAAGGCAGCUUGCUGGGCCAUUACUGACGCUGAUGCACGGAAGCGUGGGGAGCGAACAGGAUUAGAUACCCCGGUAGUCCC
RNAcentral lists this ribosomal RNA (457 nucleotides) under uncultured bacterium. Its description in RNAcentral is "bacterial SSU rRNA". It matches the Rfam family "Bacterial small subunit ribosomal RNA", at positions 343 to 797 of the family's 1533-position model. The record is from RNAcentral.